AAAAAUACUUGCUAUAAGUUCUUAUUUUUCCUUCUGACAAGAGGAGGACACGGGACACAGAAAAGGGACAAAACAUAGAACAUCAAAAACACUAGAAACAAGGCUUUUAGUUUGUGAAUAACAUUCCGUAUCCAAGAGAAACGAAAUUGACAUGGAGCAAGAUCCUUUCAGAAGCAAAAAUCAAGAUCCGCUACAAAUUCUAAGGUACACAAUUUAUUGUUUUUGCUCCGAAAUAACUUUUAGUUUUCAAAAGGAAGAAAGAGAUGAUAGUUGUUGCUAUUGUGUGGUUGGAGGAACAAUGACUGCGUGGUCAUUGGGUCUUCGGAUAGGAAGCGAUAGAUCAUUGUAGAAAUUGGAACAAAAUGGAGUUUAUCACGAUCAUAAUUCGUUUGUCUCGCGUAAAGAUUCAAAGACAUCACUUUCUGAUUUCCAGAGAAAAGAAAAAAAGGCUUCCCUCUUUUUGUAGGUUUGGUACGAAAGUAGGUUGAAAUGCUGAUUUUGGUUGCAUUUUCACUCUACUUUUGUUGUAGGAUUUUCCAUGAUUAAUGAAGGUCCAUUUCCUGAAGUCUUUUUGGUUUCUUUCUUGUGGAAUAUCAUCUGGAAUAGGGAUCUAUUUAUGUUUAAACUUUAGUAGCUUAUCUAUUCUGGGUAGGUUGCGAGCAGGGAUGACUAUAAUAUCUUUUCUUAGUAGGACCAAAUGCAUAUUGUCGAUAGAUGAAGGAAGCGACCAAUAAAAAUAAAAAUGUCUAUUUUAAGUUUAAACACACCUGAACAAUAUACACACAAUGCAACCUACUGUGAAAGGAAUUAGAGUCACAAGUUUGAGUAAUUGGAAGGAAUAACUCAUAGAAUAAAGUCUCUCAUUUUCUAGAUUAUAUUACGAGAGCAGUGGAGUUUUAUUAUAUGUUGACUUCUGGUGUUGUAAUGUCUAAUGUAUUGAAGAGAAGUGUGAAGGUUUGUUCUUAACUACCAUCUCUAUUGGUGUAACCUAAUAUCGAUGUGAAAUUUUGGUGAAAUAAUAAAACAAAUAUAGAACGACAUGGAUUGUUUAAUGUGCGAACUCGAAAGAGAUCCAAAUAAAAUUCUUUAAAUUAGAGAAAAAAAAGAUUGUUUAAUGUGCCAUUUGACUACACCUCAACUCUUAGUUAGUAGAGAAGAUCACAACAGAAAAUCAUAAUUUUCAGGUUUACUUGCACUAUAAUAGGUAAAGUUUGGAUGAUCAGAAUGGAGAUACAACUGAUUACAAGUUUCAUUAUACCAUUAUUGUAUCCCAUGGCUUCUGUUCUAUAUUCAUACUUGAUAAUGAUCAGAAAACAAAUACAAAUUGGGACAGUAUAGUGGAUAUAGACAGUGAAAGAAGGGAUUUACUAGAAAUUAAUCAUCCCAUGGAUUUUCCUUUAAUGAACUGUUUGAUCAUUUUAUAUAGAUCGUUGUCGCAAUUGGCACAAAAUGGAGUUUACCACUCUCAGAAUUCGUUUGUCUCGUGUAAAGUUUUAAAGAAAUCACUUUUCGAUUUCCAGAGAAAAGAAAAAAUGACUUCCCUUUAUCUGCAAGUUUUCGGUACGAAAGCAGGUGGGAAUGCUGAUUUGGUUACAUUUGCACUCUUGGCUUCUAUUGUAUGAUUUUGCAUGGUUAAAAAGGUCCGUUUUCUAAAGUCUUUUUGAUUUCUUUCUUGUGGAAUAUCAUCUGAAAUAUGGAUCUAUUUAUGUUUAAAAUUUAGUAGCUUUAUUUAUCCUGAGUAGGUUAAGAGCAGGGCUGGCUCUAAUACCUUUUCUUAGUAGGAUUAAAUGCAUAUUGUGGAUAGAUGAAGGAAGCGACCUGUAAAAAUAAAAAUGUUUGUUUUAAGUUUAAACGCACCUGAACAAGAUACAUACGAUCUGGGUGGUCAUUGGGUCUUUGGAUAAAAAGCGAUGAAUAGUUGCAAUUGGUACAAAAUGGAGUUUAUCACUCUCAGAAUUCGUUUGCCUUACGUAAAGAUUUAAAGACAUCACUUUCUGAUUUCCAGAGAGAAGGAAAAAUGGUGUCCCUCUAUUUCUAGGCUUUUGGUAUGAAAGCAGGUCGAAAUAUUGAUUUUGGUUGCAUUUGCAAUCUUGGCUUUUGUUGUAGGAUUUUCCAUGGUUAAGAAAGGUCCAUUUUCAGAAUUUUUUUGAUUUCUUUCUUGUGGAAUAUCAACUGGAAUAGGGAUCUAUUUAUGUUUAAACUUUAGUAGUUUUAUCUAUCCUCGGUGAGUUGCGAGUAGGGCUGGCUGUAAUACCUUUUCUUAGUAGGACCAAAUGCAUAUUGUGGAUAUAUGAAGGAAGUGACCAAUAAAAAUAAAAAUGUCUGUUUUAAGUUUAAACACACCUGAACAAGAUACAUACGAUGCAGCCCACUGUGAAAAGAAUUAGAGUCACAAGUUUGAGUAAUUGCAAGGAAUAAAAUAAAGUCUAUGUCAUUUUCUAGACUGUAUUACGAGAGUAGUGAAAUUUUAUUAUAUGUUGACUUCUGGUGUUGUAACAUCUAAUGUAUGGAAGAGAAGUGUGAAGGUUUGUUCUUAACUACCAUCUCUAUUGGUGUAACCUAAUAUCGAUGUGAAAUUUUGGUGAAAUAAUAAAACAAAUAUAAAACGACAUGGAUUGUUUAAUGUGCCAUUUGACUACACCUAAGCUCUUAGUUAGUAGAGAAGAUCACAAUAAAAAUAAUAAUUUUCAGGUUUACUUGCAUAGAUAAAGUUUGGAUCAUCAAAGUGGAGAUUACAACUGAUUAUAAGUUUCAUUAUAUCAUUAUUGUAUCCCAUUGCUUGAUAUGUUCUUUAUUCAUACUUGACAAUGAUAAAAAAAACAAAUACAAAUUGGGACAGUAUAGUGGAUAUAGACAGUGGAAGAAGGGAUUUACUAGAAAUAAAUCUUCUGUUCAAGUAGAGGCGGUUCAAGAACAUUAGCUAUGAAUAUUUUCAAAAUCAGUAACUCUAGCUUGGACACCGUAUGUUAGAAAAAUCUCUAAAUUAGUAUAAAAAUAAAAUUUGGAUUCAAUAAAUCAAAUGAACUGUGAUAUAAUUCAGAACUACAACCCUUUAAGUUUAAAUUUUGAAUCCAUGUCUGCAUUCAUUAGAAUGUCUCUAUUGGCCUCUUUUGCAUUCUUACUGACGAAGUGGCUAGAGAGGCACUUUGAUUUGAAGUGCUUAGCUAGGUUCCAAUGUUCUAUUCCAAAACCUCUCGUAUUUUUUUAGGUGUUAGUAUAGAUACCUUUUUGCAUAUUUGCUAUUUGCUAGUUAUAUUUUUUAUAAACCAUCUUUCAGGUAUUACUUCAACAAAGACUGUUUGAACAUUAAAUGGACUGAAGACGAUCCCAACAUCUUGACAAGUGAGAGGAUUUGAUUAAAUAGACUGAAGACAAUCUUAACAGCUUGGCAGGUGAAAGUAUUUUGCUGAAAUUUCUUUGUAUAUUUGUUGUUAGACACUUCUCUCGCCAUGUGGUCAUUGUUUUAGUAUGUUAACUUGCAUAGUUAACUGCAAAUGCACAUUGCCAGAUGAUUUUGAUUCUAAUAUUGUAUAUGUCUAACUUAUGAAGGAUUAGUUCAAUUAUAUUUCCUGACCAAUUUGAUAUCCUAACUUUCCUCUGUCAAAGUUGUUGGUGAUCAUUUAUCGUUG
This 3629-nucleotide long non-coding RNA is filed under the name Capsicum annuum. RNAcentral describes it as "long non-coding RNA (CANN_LNC016879)". The record is from RNAcentral. Lineage: Eukaryota; Viridiplantae; Streptophyta; Magnoliopsida; Solanales; Solanaceae.